GACGAACGCUGGCGGCGUGCUUAACACAUGCAAGUCGAACGGAAAGGCCCUGCUUUUGUGGGGUGCUCGAGUGGCGAACGGAUGAGUAACACGUGAGUAACCUGCCCUUGACUUUGGGAUAACUUCAGGAAACUGGGGAUAAUAACGGAUAGGAGCACCUGCUGCAUGGUGGGGGUUGGAAAGUUUCGGCGGUUGGGGAUGGACUCGCGGCUUAUCAGCUUGUUGGUGGGGUAGUGGCUUACCAAGGCUUUGACGGGUAGCCGGCCUGAGAGGGUGACCGGCCACAUUGGGACUGAGAUACGGCCCAGACUCCUACGGGAGGCAGCAGUGGGGAAUAUUGCACAAUGGGCGGAAGCCUGAUGCAGCAACGCCGCGUGCGGGAUGACGGCCUUCGGGUUGUAAACCGCUUUCGCCUGUGACGAAGCGUGAGUGACGGUAAUGGGUAAAGAAGCACCGGCUAACUACGUG
Molecule: ribosomal RNA, 468 nt
Filed under: uncultured bacterium
Lineage: Bacteria
Description: partial 16S ribosomal RNA
Rfam family: Bacterial small subunit ribosomal RNA
Source: RNAcentral